RNAcentral lists this ribosomal RNA (496 nucleotides) under uncultured bacterium. RNAcentral's name for it is "partial 16S ribosomal RNA". It matches the Rfam family "Bacterial small subunit ribosomal RNA", at positions 29 to 507 of the family's 1533-position model. The record is from RNAcentral.
AUGAACGCUGGCGGCGUGCCUAAUACAUGCAAGUCGAGCGAACGGACGAAAAGCUUGCUUCUCUGAUGUUAGCGGCGGACGGGUGAGUAACACGUGGAUAACCUACCUAUAAGACUGGGAUAACUUCGGGAAACCGGAGCUAAUACCGGAUAAUAUUUUGAACCGCAUGGUUCAAAAGUGAAAGACGGUCUUGCUGUCACUUAUAGAUGGAUCCGCGCUGCAUUAGCUAGUUGGUAAGGUAACGGCUUACCAAGGCAACGAUGCAUAGCCGACCUGAGAGGGUGAUCGGCCACACUGGAACUGAGACACGGUCCAGACUCCUACGGGAGGCAGCAGUAGGGAAUCUUCCGCAAUGGGCGAAAGCCUGACGGAGCAACGCCGCGUGAGUGAUGAAGGUCUUCGGAUCGUAAAACUCUGUUAUUAGGGAAGAACAUAUGUGUAAGUAACUGUGCACAUCUUGACGGUACCUAAUCAGAAAGCCACGGCUAACUACGUG